AGCCACAGCCAUAUCACCCUGCAGCCCAACACCGUUUUUACUGAAGCUAAGCAGGGUUGAGCCUGGUCAGUACCUGAAUGGGAAACCACAUGGAAAAUUUAGGUUGCUGUUGGAA
This is a ribosomal RNA of Danio rerio (zebrafish), 115 nucleotides long. NCBI's taxonomy places the organism in Eukaryota, Metazoa, Chordata, Actinopteri, Cypriniformes, Danionidae. The record is from Ensembl.